GUGCUGGCUUCAGCAGCACAUAUCCUACAAUUGAAUAAUACAGAGAAGUUUAGCAUGGCUCUUGCCCAAGGAUAGCACACAAAUUCAUGAAGCAUUCCAUAUUUUU
This is a small nuclear RNA of Nycticebus coucang (slow loris), 106 nucleotides long. Lineage: Eukaryota; Metazoa; Chordata; Mammalia; Primates; Lorisidae. The record is from RefSeq and is a predicted model, not a curated record.